UACUCCUACGGGAGGCAGCAGUGGGGAAUAUUGGACAAUGGGCGCAAGCCUGAUCCAGCCAUACCGCGUGGGUGAAGAAGGCCUUCGGGUUGUAAAGCCCUUUUGUUGGGAAAGAAAAGCAUUCGGUUAAUACCCGGGUGUUCUGACGGUACCCAAAGAAUAAGCACCGGCUAACUUCGUGCCAGCAGCCGCGGUAAUACGAAGGGUGCAAGCGUUACUCGGAAUUACUGGGCGUAAAGCGUGCGUAGGUGGUGGUUUAAGUCCGUUGUGAAAGCCCUGGGCUCAACCUGGGAAUUGCAGUGGAUACUGGGUCACUAGAGUGUGGUAGAGGAUAGUGGAAUUUCCGGUGUAGCAGUGAAAUGCGUAGAGAUCGGAAGGAACACCUGUGGCGAAGGCGACUAUCUGGGCCAACACUGACACUGAGGCACGAAAGCGUGGGGAGCAAACAGGAUUAGACACCCUGGUAGUCCACGCCCUAAACGAUGCGAACUGGAUGUUGGGUUCAACUUGGAACCCAGUAUCGAAGCUAACGCGUUAAGUUCGCCGCCUGGGGAGUACGGUCGCAAGACUGAAACUCAAAGGAAUUGACGGNNNCCGCACAAGCGGUGGAGUAUGUGGUUUAAUUCGAUGCAACGCGAAGAACCUUACCUGGUCUUGACACCCACGGAACUUUCCAGAGAUGGAUUGGUGCCUUCGGGAACCGUGAGACAGGUGCUGCAUGGCUGUCGUCAGCUCGUGUCGUGAGAUGUUGGGUUAAGUCCCGCAACGAGCGCAACCCUUGUCCUUAGUUGCCAGCACGUAAAGGUGGGAACUCUAAG
This 818-nucleotide ribosomal RNA is filed under the name uncultured bacterium. RNAcentral's name for it is "bacterial SSU rRNA". It matches the Rfam family "Bacterial small subunit ribosomal RNA", at positions 334 to 1144 of the family's 1533-position model. The record is from RNAcentral.